RNAcentral lists this transfer RNA (76 nucleotides) under Bacilli bacterium. RNAcentral's name for it is "tRNA-Thr". It matches the Rfam family "tRNA". From Rfam's summary of the family: Transfer RNA (tRNA) molecules are approximately 80 nucleotides in length. Their secondary structure includes four short double-helical elements and three loops (D, anti-codon, and T loops). Further hydrogen bonds mediate the characteristic L-shaped molecular structure. tRNAs have two regions of fundamental functional importance: the anti-codon, which is responsible for specific mRNA codon recognition, and the 3' end, to which the tRNAs corresponding amino acid is attached (by aminoacyl-tRNA synthetases). tRNAs cope with the degeneracy of the genetic code in two manners: having more than one tRNA (with a specific anti-codon) for a particular amino acid; and 'wobble' base-pairing, i.e. permitting non-standard base-pairing at the 3rd anti-codon position. Lineage: Bacteria; Bacillati; Bacillota; Bacilli. RNAcentral also lists the same sequence under 2 other names. The record is from RNAcentral.
GCCUUCUUAGCUCAUCUGGUAGAGCAACUGAUUUGUAAUCAGUAGGUGGCUGGUCCGAGUCCGGCAGAAGGCACCA